RNAcentral lists this long non-coding RNA (1411 nucleotides) under Heterocephalus glaber (naked mole-rat). RNAcentral's name for it is "lncRNA (ENSHGLG00000037272.1)". The record is from RNAcentral. Lineage: Eukaryota; Metazoa; Chordata; Mammalia; Rodentia; Bathyergidae.
AGAAAGUAAUAAACAGGGCCGGGGAUUUAGCUCAGUGGUUUCGCUGCCUGCUGCGCAAGCGCAAGGACCCGAGUUCGAUCCCCGGUUCCAAAAAAAAAAGAAAGAAAGAAAGACACAGCAAAGAAAUCUUCUGAUGAAUGAGGUCAUUUCACCCUUUGCUGCCAGGCAGUCCUCCGAGGGCAGUGUGGCUCAGAGCCAGAGAACAUGGACUGAUGGAUACCGUAAAGCCAGUGGAUGUCUCAGGUGCCUCAGUUUGAUUGCUGAGGGUGGAAUCCGAUCAAAGGACCAGGCUCGUAAUUAUUGCCCUGAGCCUAGCACAUGGCACUCCAAGGAGCUUGCUGCGGUAUGGUAUAAAGCUCAGACUCGGCCCCUGCUUGGUGUCACAGGCUCACUGAAUUGUCCUGUCUGCCAGAAACCUGAAAGGGCCUUGUUGUUUCCCUGUGAGACUGCAGUGGGCAGAAGCAGAGAGACGCUGGUCUGGUGUCCUGAAAAGCUCUCAGUGAUUUGGCUUGGUACAGAAACGUCCUGGCCGGAUUUGUGGAAGUUGAUCUGCCUGCUCUGUCUUUAUUUGUUUCGUCUUGAUUUUUCCCCUCCAAUGGGAAAAUGAGGACUUAAAUCUUUGUGUGUGUGCAGUAUUUUUCCUUGAUAAACAAGCUCAAUACAUUCGGAACCAUUUUACCUUCUAAUGGAACUCUUUCUGAAAGUGAAGACUUGGAAAAUGAUGCAGUGGACUACCUUUGCAGAUAUCUAUUGAGCCAGAUAAUGCUGGAAAAGGAUCAGAGAGGGCAGGAUCAGCGACACAAGGAUAUCUCCAGUGGUCUUUUUUGUCCGUGUUUGUGUUCACGUCCCAGGUGCCACUUUACCACCAGCCUCACCCACACUGAGCCCUGGCAUUGCUACCAAAUUCGUCUCCAGAGCAGCUCAGGUGUUCUCUGACCUUUUGCUCGAAACCUCAAUGCUCACUGUAAAUUUCUGCAGAUCUAGGAGUGCAAUAAACGAUGAGAGAAUUUAACCGGUUUUUGCUAAAAGAGAACUUAUCGGGCCCAUGGAUUUUGAAAUUCAGCAUAAAGUGAAAUUUCCCAUCACAGUAAAUGCAUACAAUUAUAAAUAAUUAAGCCAAACUCUGAGUAGUAAUUUAUGUGUUUCUUUAAAAAUGUCCCUAAUAUAUUGACAUUGACCAUGGAGUGCAAGAAUUCUUAACAAUCAAUGGGAAUUCUGCUGAGCAUGAACACCAGACCUCGACAGUUAAUGUCCCAUCAGUAUCUGAUCACCAUAAAAGUUUUAGCAGGAGUUUGGCUCUGAGGUCAGGAAGUACUGUGGGCCCAGAAAUGAGAGUAAUAAAUUCACGAUGGAAAGAACUUCACUCUUCCUACUCAUCACUAAGACAAACUCGCUAGUUAAAAAGCUGCAC